GGUCUUAUGGUCUAGUGGUUAUGACCCAGGACUUUGAAUCCUGUAACCCGAGUUCGAAUCUCGGUAAGACCU
Molecule: non-coding RNA, 72 nt
Organism: Coelomomyces lativittatus
Lineage: Eukaryota; Fungi; Blastocladiomycota; Blastocladiomycetes; Blastocladiales; Coelomomycetaceae
Source: the annotation of a GenBank genome assembly